RNAcentral lists this small RNA (93 nucleotides) under Carlito syrichta (Philippine tarsier). Its description in RNAcentral is "Y RNA (ENSTSYG00000025112.2)". Lineage: Eukaryota; Metazoa; Chordata; Mammalia; Primates; Tarsiidae. The record is from RNAcentral.
GGCUGGUCUGAGAGAAGUGGUGUUUGCAACCAACUGAUCACAGCUAGUUACAGGUUUCUUUGUUCCUUCUGCACUCCCACUGACCAGGCCAAG